GUAGGUGGCAAGCGUUGUCCGGAAUUAUUGGGCGUAAAGCGCGCGCAGGCGGUCCUUUAAGUCUGAUGUGAAAGCCCACGGCUCAACCGUCGGAGGGUCAUUGGAAACUGGGGGACUUGAGUACAGAAGAGGAAAGCGGAAUUCCAAGUGUAGCGGUGAAAUGCGUAGAGAUUUGGAGGAACACCAGUGGCGAAGGCGGCUUUCUGGUCUGUAACUGACACUGAGGCGCGAAAGCGUGGGGAGCAAACAGGAUUAGAUACCCUGGUAGUCCACGCCGUAAACGAUGAGUGCUAAGUGUUAGGGGGUUUCCCGCCCCCUUAGUGCUGCAGCUAACGCAUUAAGCACUCCGCCUGGGGAGUACGGCCGCAAGGCUG
This 374-nucleotide ribosomal RNA is filed under the name uncultured organism. Its description in RNAcentral is "partial 16S ribosomal RNA". It matches the Rfam family "Bacterial small subunit ribosomal RNA", at positions 527 to 896 of the family's 1533-position model. The record is from RNAcentral.